This 76-nucleotide microRNA precursor is filed under the name Myotis brandtii (Brandt's bat). RNAcentral's name for it is "mir-9229 microRNA precursor family". It matches the Rfam family "mir-9229 microRNA precursor family". The record is from Rfam by way of RNAcentral. Lineage: Eukaryota; Metazoa; Chordata; Mammalia; Chiroptera; Vespertilionidae.
GAGACGCCCCUCCGGGGCAAGACUUGCUUCACUGGGGCUUUGGUGCUCACUGAGUCUGCCCCCUGAGUGUGUCUUU